GAUAAACGCUGGCGGCGUGCAUAACACAUGCAAGUCAAACGGGAGAAGGAGAAGUGCUUGCACUUUUCCCAAUCAAGUGGCGGACGGGUGAGUAACGCGUGGACAACCAACCCGGUAGCGGGGGACAACAACGAGAAAUCGUUGCUAAUACCGCAUGAGCCCUUAAGUAUGCAUAUAUUUACGGGGAAAGGCCUUCGGGUCACUACCGGACGGGUCCGCGUCUGAUUAGCUAGUUGGAGGGGUAACGGCCCACCAAGGCAACGAUCAGUAGCCGAUCUGAGAGGAUGGACGGCCACAUUGGGACUGAGAUACGGCCCAGACUCCUACGGGAGGCAGCAGUGGGGGAUAUUGCACAAUGGGGGAAACCCUGAUGCAGCGACGCCGCGUGAGGGAAGAAGGUUUUCGGAUUGUAAACCUCUGUCUUUGGGGAAGAGUAGAAGACGGUACCCAAGGAGGAAGCCACGGCUAACUACGUGCCAGCAGCCGCGGUAAGAC
This 495-nucleotide ribosomal RNA is filed under the name uncultured bacterium. RNAcentral describes it as "bacterial SSU rRNA". It matches the Rfam family "Bacterial small subunit ribosomal RNA", at positions 28 to 526 of the family's 1533-position model. The record is from RNAcentral.